This is a long non-coding RNA of Arabidopsis thaliana (thale cress), 366 nucleotides long. RefSeq annotates it as other RNA. The record is from RefSeq. NCBI's taxonomy places the organism in Eukaryota, Viridiplantae, Streptophyta, Magnoliopsida, Brassicales, Brassicaceae. The transcript has a single exon.
UGAAUGGAUAUGCAUGGUCUUGACAGAAUCAUAUCAAAGUUCUAUAUAUACAUAUAUUUUAAUAUUAUUCCGCCUGAAAUGUAUCCAAAUUUGCUUUGCACCGCACGUUUUCAUUCGGACUCUAACUUGAUUAGCUAGGUCAUGUUUUUGAGUCAAAUUUCUUAUUAUGCCCGAGAAGAUUUUAAACACUUCUUAUUUGCCAUCCAUCUUUAUAAUUAUAUAUGGGUUAUAUAUCACUAAUGCACAUAUCUCCCUUCAUGUGUUUCAUAGCGAUAAAUAGACCCUCCUGUCUAAAAUUGACAUUUCCCACAAUCAUUAGUCAACCUGCAGUUCGUGUGAUCUAAAUUGACCUGUCGGGUCCUUGAU